CAACUUGGAAUUACCCCCUGUAUUAUAUUAAGACAGGACCCAUAAAUGUGAGACAACAGUACACUGAAUGCAAAGGGAAUGUGGACUAUGCUAUUGGGAUGCAGUCAGGAUGCCAGCUGUCAGAAUGCCAUGAGGCACCAUACCGAUGAGGCACGCAUGGUCUGUGUUCAGAAAAGGAGAGGAGGCGACGUAGAGGAGGAAUGAGACAGAAGCUGGAGAGAGCGAAUACAGGCAAAGAAAGAAAGAACAAAGAGAAAAGAGUAUUUCAUCAUCUGAAUAAAAGAGAAAGAGUAAUAAAGCCGGGGGGACUAGAAGAAGACAGCAAAUAAAGGGAAUACACUUUAGUUCAGAAAGUAGAAAAAAUCCACAAAUGCGUGAUGAAGGCAGGAGAUAACAAUAGCUAUUGUCUCUUAUGGGUAAUGGGAUUGAGUUCUAAAAAGAUGUGAGACAAUGUACAUAAGCAAUGACAUGCAUAUUAUGUACAGUGUAGCGGAUUGCGUUCUUACUUUACAGCCUCAGUAAUUCCAUUCUAGCUACAUGGUAAGCACUAUCCGGUAAAGAUUCUACUUAGACUGAAAUAAGAUGAAGACAGCAAACCUUCUGCAAUAAAUGCAAUGGCCUAAACCUGACCUUGUUCAUGUUCUUACUUUCAUCAAGGCAAC
Pseudophryne corroboree (corroboree frog) is the source of this 662-nucleotide long non-coding RNA. RefSeq lists it as uncharacterized. NCBI's taxonomy places the organism in Eukaryota, Metazoa, Chordata, Amphibia, Anura, Myobatrachidae. The record is from RefSeq and is a predicted model, not a curated record. The transcript has 4 exons.